UACGGAGGAUCCAAGCGUUAUCCGGAUUUAUUGGGUUUAAAGGGUGCGUAGGCGGCCUGUUAAGUCAGGGGUGAAAGACGGUAGCUCAACUAUCGCAGUGCCCUUGAUACUGAUGGGCUUGAAUGGACUAGAGGUAGGCGGAAUGAGACAAGUAGCGGUGAAAUGCAUAGAUAUGUCUCAGAACACCGAUUGCGAAGGCAGCUUACUAUGGUCUUAUUGACGCUGAGGCACGAAAGCGUGAGGAUCAAACAGG
This 253-nucleotide ribosomal RNA is filed under the name uncultured bacterium. Its description in RNAcentral is "partial 16S ribosomal RNA". It matches the Rfam family "Bacterial small subunit ribosomal RNA", at positions 524 to 776 of the family's 1533-position model. The record is from RNAcentral.